AUUGAACGCUGGCGGCAUGCCUUACACAUGCAAGUCGAACGGCAGCACGGGUGCUUGCACCUGGUGGCGAGUGGCGGACGGGUGAGUAAUACAUCGGAACGUACCUUAUCGUGGGGGAUAACGCAGCGAAAGCUGUGCUAAUACCGCAUACGCCCUGAGGGGGAAAGCGGGGGAGCGAAAGACCUCGCGCGAUUAGAGCGGCCGAUGCCUGACUAGCUUGUUGGUGGGGUAAAAGCCCACCAAGGCGACGAUCAGUAGCUGGUCUGAGAGGACGAUCAGCCACACUGGGACUGAGACACGGCCCAGACUCCUACGGGAGGAAGCAGUGGGGAAUUUUGGACAAUGGGGGCAACCCUGAUCCAGCAAUGCCGCGUGAGUGAAGAAGGCCUUCGGGUUGUAAAGCUCUUUUGUCAGGGAAGAAACACCGGCUCUAACACAGUCCGGGGAUGACGGUACCUGAAGAAUAAGCACCGGCUAACUACGUGCCAGCCGCCGCCGUAA
Molecule: ribosomal RNA, 501 nt
Filed under: uncultured bacterium
Lineage: Bacteria
Description: partial 16S ribosomal RNA
Rfam family: Bacterial small subunit ribosomal RNA
Source: RNAcentral